GUCUUUUUGAGUUAUUUUUAAAGUCUGACCUGCCCACUGAAAUAUUUAAAUGGCCGCAGUAUUCUAACUGUGCAAAGGUAGCAUAAUCAUUAGUCUUUUAAUUGAAGGCUGGUAUGAACGGUUGGACGAAGUAUAAGCUGUUUCAUAUAAAUUUAUAUUAGAAUUUUAUAUUUUAGUCAAAAAGCUAAAAUAAAAUUAAAAGACGAGAAGACCCUAUAAAUCUUUAUAUUUUAUAUUAUUUAAAUUUUUUUGAUUUAUUUUAUUUUUAUAUAAUAAAAUAUUUUGUUGGGGUGAUAUUAAAAUUUAAUAAACUUUUAAUUAGUUUAAAAUCAUUAAUUUAUGAAUUGUUGAUCCGUUAUUAGCGAUUAUAAGAUUAAGUUACUUUAGGGAUAACAGCGUAAUUUUUUUUGAGAGUUCAUAUCGACAAAAAAGUUUGCGACCUCGAUGUUGGAUUAAGAUAUAUUUUUAGGUGUAGCCGCUUAAAUAUUAAGUCUGUUCGACUUUUAAAUUCUU
Molecule: ribosomal RNA, 513 nt
Filed under: Carpophthoromyia dividua
Lineage: Eukaryota; Metazoa; Arthropoda; Insecta; Diptera; Tephritidae
Description: partial 16S ribosomal RNA
Rfam family: Bacterial large subunit ribosomal RNA (bases 389-513)
Source: RNAcentral